RNAcentral lists this ribosomal RNA (253 nucleotides) under uncultured bacterium. Its description in RNAcentral is "partial 16S ribosomal RNA". It matches the Rfam family "Bacterial small subunit ribosomal RNA", at positions 524 to 776 of the family's 1533-position model. The record is from RNAcentral.
UACGAAGGGGGCUAGCGUUGCUCGGAAUCACUGGGCGUAAAGCGCACGUAGGCGGAUUGUUAAGUCAGGGGUGAAAUCCUGGAGCUCAACUCCAGAACUGCCUUUGAUACUGGCGAUCUUGAGUCCGUGAGAGGUGAGUGGAACUGCGAGUGUAGAGGUGAAAUUCGUAGAUAUUCGCAAGAACACCAGUGGCGAAGGCGGCUCACUGGCCCGGUACUGACGCUGAGGUGCGAAAGCGUGGGGAGCAAACAGG